This 547-nucleotide non-coding RNA is filed under the name Gossypium hirsutum (cotton). RNAcentral's name for it is "Bacterial large subunit ribosomal RNA". It matches the Rfam family "Bacterial large subunit ribosomal RNA", at positions 2081 to 2640 of the family's 2925-position model. The record is from Rfam by way of RNAcentral. Lineage: Eukaryota; Viridiplantae; Streptophyta; Magnoliopsida; Malvales; Malvaceae.
CUGACACUCUAGAUGAUGAAAUUUAACUAUGAGUUUAAGGUAGAAUUGAAGAAAAUUUCAUGGAAAAUUUUCUUCUUCUGUUUUUUUCUCUCUUUUCCUCUCUUUCCUCUCUCGCUAGAAUUCUAACCUUGUGUCAGGACCUACGGGCCAAGGAAUAGUCUUAGGUAGACAGUUUCUAUGGGGUGUAAGCGGCCUCCCAAAAGGUAACGGAGGUGUGCAAAGGUUUCUCUGGGCUGGAUGGAGAUUGGCCUUCGAGUGCAAAGGUAGAAGGGAGCUUGACUGUAAGACCCACCCGCUGAGUAGGGACGAAAGUCGGCCUUAGUGAUCUGACGGUGCCGAGUGGAAGGGUCGUCGCUCAACGAAUACAAGUUACUCUAGGUAUAACAGGCUGAUCUUUCCCAAAAGCUCACAUCGACAGGAAGGUUUGGCACCUCGAUGUUGGCUCUUCGUCACUUGGGGCUGUAGUAUGUUCCAAGGGUUGGGCUAUUCGCCCAUUAAAACGGUACGUGAGCUAGGUUCAGAACGUCGUGAGACAGUUCGAUCCAUA